Molecule: long non-coding RNA, 1540 nt
Organism: Humulus lupulus (European hop)
Lineage: Eukaryota; Viridiplantae; Streptophyta; Magnoliopsida; Rosales; Cannabaceae
Exons: 3
Source: RefSeq, a predicted model, not a curated record
CACUUUCAUCCUUCUACUUCUUCAAUUUUUGUUUCUGCUAAUGAUGGUUAUGAAGAUGUUCCGCCAGGCCCCAUGUAUACUCAGUCUCUAGCCAAGCCAUUGUCCUCUUGUGCCCCCUUUAUAGUUUCCCAGCCCCUUGUAACGAUCCAAAAUUACUAAUAAGUCUUAAGGGCCUUGAUUAGUGUGCCGGGAGAGCAUAACUAGUUUAUGUGUGAUUUAAAUGAUUAAAUGCAUGAUUAUGUGAUAAGCAUGCUUAUAUGAUUAUAUUGAUAUAUGAGAUGCAUGACUAUGAGUAUUAGUAUGCAUGUAGGCCCUGUUUAGAUUAUAAGGGCAUAUUCAUAAUUUUAGCCCGUUGAGGGCUUAAAUGUAAUUAUUUGCGAUAAUUGUUGAGACCACAUUAUUAUGUGGAUAUAUUUACAGCUUGUGGCUUGUGGCUCGAGGCAAUCCUAGUGAGCGGUUUAGCGAAAUAGUCACAACGAGGGUUUAUAUCAAUCUAGGGGGGAGCCUGGGGGUAUUUCUGGGAAUUUGGGAAAUAUAUUGGAGACUAUUUGACAUUGGGAAAAAUAAUUGGUGAUUAGUUAGGUGAUGGGAUUUAAGCGGUAAUUAUUAGGGAUACUUGAGGAAUUAGCGGGAAUUGGGAACAAAUGACCAAAAUUCCCUUAGAAUGUUUAAAGGCUUAGGUUUUAAAUGGGAGGGCAAAAUGGUCAUUUGAUGGUUAAAAGGGGAUAAGGGUCAUUUCUGUUUUUAGACUUAGUGGAAAUUGUAGAAUGUGUUAGAAGCUGAAGGAAAGAAGAAAAAACAGAACACUUGAGUUAGCUCUCUCUUUCUCCCUCACGGUUUGCCUAUCCCUCACCAUUUCUUGUGGAAUUCGAAGCUGUAAACUCAGAGGAGGCUUAGGCUAGAGCUGUGACCUUGGUUCUUGAGGUAAUCAAGAGGGUUAGCUGGAGUUAAUUCCCAAAAUAAGGUAAGGUUUAAAGUUGUUUUGAGAUUUAUGAGUUUUGGUGAGUUUGAAUUCUGAAUUUGGAUUUUUAAAUGGAAGUUAAGGUGUUUGAGCUUGAGGAAUUGAGGAGCUACAGGCUGGAAGGGCACUAAGGGAAACCUAGGGUCGGAUUCUCCAUUAAAGGUGUACACUAGGGCUCGGACGAGAUCAUGCUCGAGGAUCAUUUCUUUUAACCCGAGUGCUCGGAAUCAAAGGGCGCGACUCGGCCACUGGUAGCUGAGGUUAAGUACAUAAUCACUGAGCUCGACCUAAGCGAGCCGGGGUCAGUGGGAUAAUCAGAGGGUGUGGCCUAAGGGCGCCAAUCCUGGAUUUUGGUGUGAUAUGUUUAAUUUUGUUUAAACUGAUGAUUGUGAUGAGUUUGUUAUCUGAAUAACUGAUCAUUGGCUUGUAGAUUGAUAUCACUGUUUAUGUGAGCAAUAUGACCUGUUGUAUAUCUGAUUGAUGAUUUAUGAAAUAUCUUACUGUUGUUUAUUGUUUAUACUCUGUAUUAUGACUUUCUUAUUGGGCCUCGGCUCACAGGUGCUACGUGGUGUAGGUAAA